UAACCUCAUUCGCGAGAAUGAGUUGAACAGACAGAAGUCAGCAGAGGUCAUAGUACAUGCCAUGUGACGACAUGACAUGGAAGGGC
This is a non-coding RNA of Aneurinibacillus sp. XH2, 86 nucleotides long. Lineage: Bacteria; Bacillati; Bacillota; Bacilli; Caryophanales; Paenibacillaceae. The record is from Rfam.